GUUAGGAAUUUUGGGCAAUGGGCGCAAGCCUGACCCAGCAACGCCGCGUGGGCGACGAAGCCCUUCGGGGUGUAAAGCCCUUUUCCAGGGGACGAUAAUGACGGUACCCUGGGAAUAAGCCCCGGCUAACUACGUGCCAGCAGCCGCGGUAAUACGUAGGGGGCGAGCGUUGUCCGGAAUCAUUGGGCGUAAAGCGCGCGCAGGCGGUUGGCAGAGCCCGGCGUGAAAGCCCCCAGCUCAACUGGGGGAGGCCGUCGGAGACCUGUCGACUUGAGGCCGGUAGGGGAGAGCGGAAUUCCCGGUGUAGUGGUGGAAUGCGUAGAUAUCGGGAGGAACACCAGUGGCGAAGGCGGCUCUCUGGACCGGUUCUGACGCUCAGGCGCGAAAGCGUGGGGAGCGAUCCGGAUUAGAAACCCGAGUAGUCC
RNAcentral lists this ribosomal RNA (425 nucleotides) under uncultured bacterium. RNAcentral's name for it is "bacterial SSU rRNA". It matches the Rfam family "Bacterial small subunit ribosomal RNA", at positions 354 to 796 of the family's 1533-position model. The record is from RNAcentral.